RNAcentral lists this long non-coding RNA (1842 nucleotides) under Panax ginseng (ginseng). RNAcentral describes it as "long non-coding RNA (PGIN_LNC016405)". Lineage: Eukaryota; Viridiplantae; Streptophyta; Magnoliopsida; Apiales; Araliaceae. The record is from RNAcentral.
UCACUUAUUAUCCAUUUUACCCUUGAGCUUACAAAUACUCAGCACUGAAAAUUCACUAAUUUCGUUCCAUCCUCGAAAUCUACGUCUCCCAAAGUCAGCGACUUGUCUCUCAGUUCUCACUCAAAUGGAUUACGAUUUUCCGGAUCGCGAUCCUCCUUCAUUCGAACGCACGGUACAUUUCAUAGAUCUGAAAAAAUCCAUCUCAUAGUUUCUGUUAUUGAUUUUACCAGAUCUGAUUUGAUGACUUAUAUAUUUUUAUUUUAGUUAUUUGUUGCUAUUUUUUAAGCUGUUGUACUUUGGAUCUUUAAUUUUAUCUGUUCGAUGUUUUCUUUAUUCUCUCUUUUCGAAAAUCCUUCGAUUUGAUUAUUUUAUUGCCCUUAUACCGUUGUUUGAACUGAAUACUAUUGUCAAUCUGAAUAUAUGACUUCGAAUUCUGAAAAUUUCAAAUCUUUUUAGCUCUAUUAUGGCUCUCCCUUCAAAUUCUACAAGUUGACAAGUUUAAACUUGUUUUGCAGAACUAAUUGUCUCUGUUAUUGAAUCUUUGAAUACUUGAUUGGAUGUAUCUAUUGGACAUAUAUCCGGAAAUUUUAAGUUCACAGUUCACCUAAUUGGUUAAUGCAUUUCAUUUUUCACCCAAAUAAAAUAGUAAAUCUAAUUGUACAAUGUUUUGAUGAUGCAUUACACUAUUACAAUAGUAGAUGUGUAUUUAUGAGGAAAGAGCUUGUGCAUUGCAAAUGUUGUCAUGGUUCCUCUAUGUUUAGUUAGAUAAUAAUUUAAUUGAAAUUGAAUCAUGCCACUGAUGUGGCCAAUAAAAUAAGUUAGUUAUGCUGGAUUGGACAGGAACCUCAGAAUUUCUGUUGCUUUAAUAUGAUUUUUUAAAACCUUUGUGUUCUUGAUUUGCCAGACAAGCAUGAUUUAGUACCUUUUUGAGGGUCCCUCUAAUUUGAUCCAUUUUAGAUGUAUCUCAAUGCUCCAAGUUUCUUGAUAAAUCACUUGUAUGUCUCUGUGUUUGUGUCUCAAUGCUGAGUUUCUUGAUCAAUCACUUAUAUGUCUCGGUGUUUCCUUUCAAGUGUGACAUCACGGGGUGAAAUGUUAUACUUUGGAAAAAUAUUAUUUUAAGUUUAAUAGAGUCAAAAUCCAAAAGAGGUAAUUGUUGAAUGUAUCAAGUUAUGAUUUAUGCUAACAACCUCAAUAACUGCUGAUUUAUAAUGACUGCAUUGAAGUAGAGAUCUAAAUAUUCACUUCUGUGGUUUUCUUUGCCGGUAUUGUCUUUAAUGGUUGCCAGCUUAUAAGUUGCUGGAUUUAAUACAUAAGCAUAUAUCAUCUGAAUGGUGAGCAGGGGAAGAUCGAUGACUCUGAAGUCCAAGGAUUCAACCCUGGAUUGGUCGUCCUCCUUGUUGUUGGUGGCCUACUUUUAACAUUUCUUGUCGGGAAUUAUGUACUCUAUACCUAUGCUCAGAAGACCCUUCCUCCAAGGAAAAAGAAGCCAAUCUCCAAGAAGAAGCUGAAGAGGGAUAAACUUAAGCAAGGUGUUGCUGCACCAGGAGAGUAGACAAUUUAGAGUGUUGUUUUCCUCUUCAAUGUUGAGGAAUUGUCUCCAGUGUCCUUCGAGUCCAGAACUUUUGUUUGCAAUGGUUACGUGUUCCUCCGGUGACUUCCUUUCCUUUAUUCUCAGCAUACCUAUAAAAUUUAGCUUGAGAAAUUAGGAAUUACCCCCUGAUCCCUAAAAUAGUAAAACAUUCUACUGGCUGGGAUUUAAGAAUAUUUCUCUUUAACGCAUGAUGAUUUGAGGAUUUUGCUCAAUCAUUGCAUUCAACCUUUUUUAAUAUAUCAGUAUUGUGG